This 253-nucleotide ribosomal RNA is filed under the name uncultured bacterium. RNAcentral describes it as "partial 16S ribosomal RNA". It matches the Rfam family "Bacterial small subunit ribosomal RNA", at positions 524 to 776 of the family's 1533-position model. The record is from RNAcentral.
UACGUAGGGUGCGAGCGUUAAUCGGAAUUACUGGGCGUAAAGCGCGCGCAGGCGGCACUGUAAGUAAGGUGUGAAAUCUCCCUGCUCAACGGGGAGGGUGCAUUUUAGACUGCAGAGCUAGAGGACGGUAGAGGGGGGUGGAAUUGCUGGUGUAGCGGUGAAAUGCGUAGAGAUCAGCAGGAACACCCGUGGCGAAGGCGGCCCCCUGGGCCGAACCUGACGCUGAGGCGCGAAGGCUAGGGGAGCGAACGGG